GCCCGCUGCCUCCCUCACAAAUAUCGCCUACCGCCUGCCUAGGGCUCGUAGGAGGUAAUAGCAGCGCUCCUUAGUGAACCUGAAGGGCUUUCCUAGUUUUGUGUGUUACUGAGGGCUGUUUGCGGUGCUCACUACCGCAAUGGGUCCGUGGGCUGCAUAUUUGCAAACAGCACCUGUGUUAAUGAAGGUGCAUGAGGGCGGUGUGUGGGUUACAGCUGUGCUGUGGUACACCGCUUAAUGUUGCCUUGAUUUUCUGUUUUUAGAGGCUGAUGAUGGGCUUGGCAGAAAUGAAGAAAAAUACUACCUAUCCUGAUUCUUGCCACACUUGAUGGGAAGAUAAGAGCUGGUGAAGCCUCCUGGCAGAAUGCUUGGAAUUUACAACAAUUUACAUCUGUUGACUCUCUAAAUCAGAGGUAACAUCUAGCUUGGCAGCUCUCAAUGUAUGUAUCCUUCAGCAAUUUGUCCAGCUGACUGUGAUACGUGUACGAUCCCAGUACACAUAACAUCCUGCAGCAGGGUGUUCCACAGUGUAGUCAGUGUAGGAAGAAUCACUUUGCUUUCAACCUGACAUUUCGUGCCACUGUUAGGCUGCUGUUCUGUGAACUUUUCCAGUUCUCGCAUGUCCUGUUUGAGAUGGUAGGGUUGAAAAUGCAUACAAUGUUCACGUUGCGAACAUACAUUGGAUUUAGAAAGUGGCAUAACUAUUCUCUGUGUUCUCAAGGUAUUUCCUAAAUAUUUCUAACGUUUAAUACAUUGUUGAACACUACUAAACGCUGAGCUGCUGUUGUUGUAAAUGUACCUAUUAAGUUUCCAAGAUUGCACUCCUGAAGUGCAAUGGUCUGCUGAGUCAUAAGUACUCUACUCAUAGAACAUUUUUUCACCACUUGUGUUACUGACAAUCACUUUAUUGCCAGUCA
Molecule: long non-coding RNA, 917 nt
Organism: Oxyura jamaicensis (ruddy duck)
Lineage: Eukaryota; Metazoa; Chordata; Aves; Anseriformes; Anatidae
Exons: 2
Source: RefSeq, a predicted model, not a curated record